RNAcentral lists this ribosomal RNA (305 nucleotides) under uncultured bacterium. Its description in RNAcentral is "bacterial SSU rRNA". It matches the Rfam family "Bacterial small subunit ribosomal RNA", at positions 335 to 634 of the family's 1533-position model. The record is from RNAcentral.
UACCUACGGGAGGCAGCAGUAGGGAAUUUUCGUCAAUGGGCGCAAGCCUGAACGAGCGAUGCCGCGUGAGUGAAGAAGGCCUUCGGGUCGUAAAGCUCUGUUGCGGGGGAAAAAAGGCAGCAUCAGGAAAUGGGUGCUGACUGAUGGUGCCCCGCCAGAAAGUCACGGCUAACUACGUGCCAGCAGCCGCGGUAAUACGUAGGGAGCGAGCGUUAUCCGGAUUUAUUGGGUGUAAAGGGUGCGUAGGCGGCUUCUUAAGUCUGUAGUCUAAGCCCGGAGCUUAACUCCGGUUCGCUACAGAAACU